This 490-nucleotide ribosomal RNA is filed under the name uncultured bacterium. Its description in RNAcentral is "partial 16S ribosomal RNA". It matches the Rfam family "Bacterial small subunit ribosomal RNA", at positions 30 to 507 of the family's 1533-position model. The record is from RNAcentral.
AUUGAACGCUGGCGGCAUGCCUUACACAUGCAAGUCGAACGGCAGCAUGAUCUAGCUUGCUAGAUUGAUGGCGAGUGGCGAACGGGUGAGUAAUACAUCGGAACGUGCCCUGUAGUGGGGGAUAACUAGUCGAAAGAUUAGCUAAUACCGCAUACGACCUGAGGGUGAAAGUGGGGGACCGCAAGGCCUCAUGCUAUAGGAGCGGCCGAUGUCUGAUUAGCUAGUUGGUGAGGUAAAGGCUCACCAAGGCGACGAUCAGUAGCUGGUCUGAGAGGACGAUCAGACACACUGGGACUGAGACACGGCCCAGACUCCUACGGGAGGCAGCAGUGGGGAAUUUUGGACAAUGGGCGAAAGCCUGAUCCAGCAAUGCCGCGUGUGUGAAGAAGGCCUUCGGGUUGUAAAGCACUUUUGUCCGGAAAGAAAUGGCUCUGGUUAAUACCUGGGGUCGAUGACGGUACCGGAAGAAUAAGGACCGGCUAACUACGUG